GCCUCAGCCAGAUAGUACAGUCUAAGGAGGACAUGAGCCUAAGACUGGGCCAGUUUCCAUGUCAAACCAAGAUGGUGAAAGAUAAAGUGGACAGAAAAGCAGAAGAGACACGGAGCAGAUUGAAGAAAAGCAGGAGUUGUGGAGAUGAAAAGGAGUAAGAAAACUGCAGGAAAGAAGUUGCAGACCAUGAAAUGGGGCAUCAACAUGAACAGAUGAGGAUGGAAAGGGGAAAAGCUUGAAGCCAAACCACAGAGAAUUCAACCCAAUGAGAUCACCAGACUGAGAUGUUACCCAGAAGUUGCUGCCAAUCUGCAGGAACUCACACCAUGCAAGGACAGAGGACGGUAACUUGUGCAUAAUUCCGGG
Molecule: long non-coding RNA, 366 nt
Organism: Echinops telfairi (small Madagascar hedgehog)
Lineage: Eukaryota; Metazoa; Chordata; Mammalia; Afrosoricida; Tenrecidae
Exons: 3
Source: RefSeq, a predicted model, not a curated record